GGCUCCUCUCUACUCCGUUGAAAACAUUACUACUCCACCGUUUAGUACUCGCCUGUUAACCGAAGGGUUGUAGGUUCGAGUCCUACCUGAGGAGCCA
This 97-nucleotide transfer RNA is filed under the name Occallatibacter sp. RNAcentral's name for it is "tRNA-Asn". Lineage: Bacteria; Pseudomonadati; Acidobacteriota; Terriglobia; Terriglobales; Acidobacteriaceae. The record is from RNAcentral.